This 72-nucleotide transfer RNA is filed under the name Pelobates cultripes (western spadefoot toad). Its description in RNAcentral is "tRNA.His". It matches the Rfam family "tRNA". Rfam says of the family: Transfer RNA (tRNA) molecules are approximately 80 nucleotides in length. Their secondary structure includes four short double-helical elements and three loops (D, anti-codon, and T loops). The record is from RNAcentral. Lineage: Eukaryota; Metazoa; Chordata; Amphibia; Anura; Pelobatidae.
GCCUUGAUCAUAUAGUGGUUAGUACUCUGUGUUGUGGCCGCAGCAACACCGGUUCAAAUCCGGGUCAUGGCA